GCAGCACCUCUUUACUUGGUGUCUCUAUUUCCCCAUUUCUCCCUCAGCCCCACCCUAGCAUCUUUCUUUCAUUGUGUAACAGACUGACCGUGCUGACAUUGCUCGCUCCACAAGCGACUACACAGCGAGGCGCGAAAUGGACGAGAGAGAGCGGGGGGAUUGAGGGAAGAGGGCGGCUGAGUAAGUGAAGGAAUAACGGUGUUCGGGGUUCCUUUCUUCUUUCGCCUUUUGCUUGAUUUCUUUAAAGACGGGAAUAUGAAAAACGAGACGAGGUCGCCCUUCGGGCUGUUCUUCUUUUUUCCCCUCCCCCACCUCCUUCCUAUGUGCAUAGCAGUUUGAAGUACAAUGGGCGAAAAUCAAGGUGAAACCGACACGUGCACAAACGGAAGAGAAGUAAGAGACAUCCGCGUGCGCUUUCAUGGCACUGCAGCAGUCUUGUCUUUUUCUGAGAGAGUGCUACCGUGUGCGUGCGCCGCCAUUCUCGUUUCCCCGCCGGUACCAUUGACCCGGCCGGCCACCUCGCCCCUCUCCACACCCACUUCCCUUUG
RNAcentral lists this unclassified non-coding RNA (548 nucleotides) under Leishmania donovani. RNAcentral describes it as "gene:unknown". Lineage: Eukaryota; Euglenozoa; Kinetoplastea; Trypanosomatida; Trypanosomatidae. The record is from RNAcentral.